Molecule: ribosomal RNA, 730 nt
Filed under: uncultured Campylobacter sp.
Lineage: Bacteria; Pseudomonadati; Campylobacterota; Epsilonproteobacteria; Campylobacterales; Campylobacteraceae
Description: bacterial SSU rRNA
Rfam family: Bacterial small subunit ribosomal RNA
Source: RNAcentral
AGUGAACGCUGGCGGCGUGCCUAAUACAUGCAAGUCGAACGGACAAGUAAGAGCUUGCUCUUAUGAGUUAGUGGCGCACGGGUGAGUAAUGUAUAGCUAAUCUGCCCUACACUAGAGGACAACAGUUGGAAACGACUGCUAAUACUCUAUACUCCUCUCUAGCAUAAGUUAGAUAGGGAAAGUUUUUCGGUGUAGGAUGAGGCUAUAUUGUAUCAGCUAGUUGGUGAGGUAAUGGCUCACCAAGGCUAUGACGCAUAACUGGUCUGAGAGGAUGAUCAGUCACACUGGAACUGAGACACGGUCCAGACUCCUACGGGAGGCAGCAGUAGGGAAUAUUGCUCAAUGGGGGAAACCCUGAAGCAGCAACGCCGCGUGGAGGAUGACACUUUUCGGAGCGUAAACUCCUUUUGUUAGGGAAGAACAAUGACGGUACCUAACGAAUAAGCACCGGCUAACUCCGUGCCAGCAGCCGCGGUAAUACGGAGGGUGCAAGCGUUACUCGGAAUCACUGGGCGUAAAGGACGCGUAGGCGGAUUAUCAAGUCUCUUGUGAAAUCCUAUGGCUUAACCAUAGAACUGCUUGGGAAACUGAUAAUCUAGAGUGAGGGAGAGGCAGAUGGAAUUGGUGGUGUAGGGGUAAAAUCCGUAGAGAUCACCAGGAAUACCCAUUGCGAAGGCGAUCUGCUGGAACUCAACUGACGCUAUGCGUGAAAGCGUGGGGAGCAAACAGG